AUGAAUAAACACUAUUUUAAAAUUUCAUGAAAAUACAUGGAACAGAGAAACAAUGUGACUGAGUUUGUUCUCUUGGGCCUUACUCAGAGUCCUGAAGGCCAGAAAAUAUUAUUUGUUGUGUUCUUGGUCAUCUAUGUUGUGACAAUGGCAGGAAAUCUACUCAUUGUUGUGACUGUUGUGGUCAGCCCAAGUUUAGAUGCCCCCAUGUACUUCUUUCUUGGCUACUUAUCAUUUAUGGAUGCUGUUUAUUCAACCACAGUUACACCAAAUAUGAUUAUAGACUUACUUUAUGAGAAAAAAACUAUUUCCUUCAAAGCUUGCAUGAGCCAGCUUUUCAUAGGACACUUGUUUGGUGGAGCUGAGAUCUUACUCUUAGUUGUCAUGGCCUAUGACCGGUAUGUAGCCAUCUGCAAACCCUUGCAUUAUCUGACCAUCAUGAACCAACGUGUAUGUGUUUUGCUAUUGUUGUUGGCCUGGUUUGGGGGUUUCUUACAUGCCGUAGUCCAACUUUUAUUUGUAUAUAACCUUCCUUUCUGUGGUCCUAAUAUCAUUGAUCACUUCAUCUGUGACAUGUACCCCUUAUUAAAAUUAGCCUGCACAGACACAUAUGUUAUUGGCCUCACAGUUGUUGCCAAUGAUGGGGCAAUCUGUGUGGUCAUCUUUAUGCUGUUGAUCAUUUCUUAUGGGGUCAUUCUUCACUCUUUGAAGAAUCUCAGUCAGGAAGGAAGGCGCAAAGCCUUAUCCACCUGUGGCUCCCAUAUCACUGUGGUUGUUCUCUUCUUUGUUCCCUGUAUUUUUAUGUAUGUGAGACCUCCUUCUACUUUACCCAUUGAUAAGUCAUUAACUGUAUUUUACACUGUUAUCACCCCAAUGCUAAAUCCCCUCAUAUAUACUCUGAGAAAUGCAGAGAUGAAAAAUGCCAUGAGAAAACUUUGGACAAGUAAAGGGAAAUGA
This is an RNA transcript of Grammomys surdaster, 954 nucleotides long. It is a transcript of the gene named olfactory receptor 4A15-like, with no coding region annotated. The record is from RefSeq and is a predicted model, not a curated record. NCBI's taxonomy places the organism in Eukaryota, Metazoa, Chordata, Mammalia, Rodentia, Muridae. The transcript is spliced from 2 exons.